AUUGAACGCUGGCGGCAGGCCUAACACAUGCAAGUCGAGCGGAUGAAGGGAGCUUGCUCCUGGAUUCAGCGGCGGACGGGUGAGUAAUGCCUAGGAAUCUGCCUGGUAGUGGGGGAUAACGUCCGGAAACGGGCGCUAAUACCGCAUACGUCCUGAGGGAGGAAGUGGGGGAUCUUCGGACCUCACGCUAUCAGAUGAGCCUAGGUCGGAUUAGCUAGUUGGUGGGGUAAAGGCCUACCAAGGCGACGAUCCGUAACUGGUCUGAGAGGAUGAUCAGUCACACUGGAACUGAGACACGGUCCAGAAUCCUACGGGAGGCAGCAGUGGGGAAUAUUGGACAAUGGGCGAAAGCCUGAUCCAGCCAUGCCGCGUGUGUGAAGAAGGUCUUCGGAUUGUAAAGCACUUUAAGUUGGGAGGAAGGGCAGUAAGUUAAUACCUUGCUGUUUUGACGUUACCAACAGAAUAAGCACCGGCUAACUUCGUG
This 484-nucleotide ribosomal RNA is filed under the name uncultured bacterium. RNAcentral's name for it is "partial 16S ribosomal RNA". It matches the Rfam family "Bacterial small subunit ribosomal RNA", at positions 30 to 507 of the family's 1533-position model. The record is from RNAcentral.